This 564-nucleotide ribosomal RNA is filed under the name uncultured bacterium. RNAcentral describes it as "bacterial SSU rRNA". It matches the Rfam family "Bacterial small subunit ribosomal RNA", at positions 75 to 635 of the family's 1533-position model. The record is from RNAcentral.
CUUGCUUCUUUGCUGACGAGUGGCGGACGGGUGAGUAAUGUCUGGGAAACUGCCUGAUGGAGGGGGAUAACUACUGGAAACGGUAGCUAAUACCGCAUAACGUCGCAAGACCAAAGAGGGGGACCUUCGGGCCUCUUGCCAUCGGAUGUGCCCAGAUGGGAUUAGCUAGUAGGUGGGGUAACGGCUCACCUAGGCGACGAUCCCUAGCUGGUCUGAGAGGAUGACCAGCCACACUGGAACUGAGACACGGUCCAGACUCCUACGGGAGGCAGCAGUGGGGAAUAUUGCACAAUGGGCGCAAGCCUGAUGCAGCCAUGCCGCGUGUAUGAAGAAGGCCUUCGGGUUGUAAAGUACUUUCAGCGGGGAGGAAGGGAGUAAAGUUAAUACCUUUGCUCAUUGACGUUACCCGCAGAAGAAGCACCGGCUAACUCCGUGCCAGCAGCCGCGGUAAUACGGAGGGUGCAAGCGUUAAUCGGAAUUACUGGGCGUAAAGCGCACGCAGGCGGUUUGUUAAGUCAGAUGUGAAAUCCCCGGGCUCAACCUGGGAACUGCAUCUGGAUACUG